AAUUUCAGACUUAAUUUUCUCUCAUGAAAAAAUGCAUCAACCCCUACAAGAAUAUCCAAUAAAUAUAAUUCACAUAAUUAUUCCCAUUUCAUGUUGUUGCAGGAUUAUUUUCCUGCUGUAGCAAACUGGCUCAAAUUAAGCUCCUGCAUCUGUAGUUCCAUACAGACAGACCAAGCCGAGAAAAAAGGUUGGUUUGAACGGUUCAGCAGCGAGAGGAAGCCAGGAGGAAAMGUGUUACAUUGCGGGAGGAACUUUUCUAGUGAACUUGCAGCUAUGGGCCCCGACACAGUGCACUGAAGAGCCAUCGCCAGCCAUUUGACCAAAAACCCAGGGAAAGAGUUUGUUGAGGGGAACAUCGACUCAUAUUAAUGAGUUAUACUCUUCGGGGUGUUAGCCAACUUGCUUACUUUAAUGCUGGUAUAAUGUAUUAUUAUUAAAAUGCGUUGUAAGACUUGUCAUAAGCAGUAUGACCUCCUCAUGAUAUGUUAUUAUCAUCUCACAAUGAUUCAUAAUAAAUAGCAGCCAUUUUGAGUCAAGUGACAUAGAGGGGCAUAACAUAUUAUAAGAUGUAUCAUAAGACAUUAAAAAAGGCUCAUGCAUGUUUAUAACAAGUAGGCCUAAUGAAGCAUUAUACAUAUCGGCAUUAAGUAAAUAAAGUGUUAUCAGUGA
Salvelinus sp. IW2-2015 is the source of this 669-nucleotide non-coding RNA. NCBI's taxonomy places the organism in Eukaryota, Metazoa, Chordata, Actinopteri, Salmoniformes, Salmonidae. The record is from RefSeq and is a predicted model, not a curated record.